CAUGCAAGUCGAGCGGAUCUUGUCCUUCGGGAUAAGGUUAGCGGCGGACGGGUGAGUAACACGUAGGUAACCUGCCCGUAAGACUGGGAUAACAUUCGGAAACGAAUGCUAAUACCGGAUACACAGCUUGGUCGCAUGACCUUGCUGGGAAAGAUGGAGCAAUCUAUCACUUACGGAUGGACCUGCGGCGCAUUAGCUAGUUGGUGAGGUAACGGCUCACCAAGGCGACGAUGCGUAGCCGACCUGAGAGGGUGAUCGGCCACACUGGGACUGAGACACGGCCCAGACUCCUACGGGAGGCAGCAGUAGGGAAUCUUCCGCAAUGGACGAAAGUCUGACGGAGCAACGCCGCGUGAGUGAUGAAGGUUUUCGGAUCGUAAAGCUCUGUUGCCAGGGAAGAACGCUUGGGAGAGUAACUGCUCCCAAGGUGACGGUACCUGAGAAGAAAGCCCCGGCUAACUACGUGCCAGCAGCCGCGGUAAUACGUAGGGGGCAAGCGUUGUCCGGAAUUAUUGGGCGUAAAGCGCGCGCAGGCGGUUCCUUAAGUCUGAUGUGAAAGCCCACGGCUCAACCGUGGAGGGUCAUUGGAAACUGGGGAACUUGAGUGCAGAAGAGGAGAGCGGAAUUCCACGUGUAGCGGUGAAAUGCGUAGAGAUGUGGAGGAACACCAGUGGCGAAGCGGCUCUCUGGUCUGUAACUGACGCUG
Molecule: ribosomal RNA, 706 nt
Filed under: uncultured bacterium
Lineage: Bacteria
Description: bacterial SSU rRNA
Rfam family: Bacterial small subunit ribosomal RNA
Source: RNAcentral